This 94-nucleotide signal recognition particle RNA is filed under the name Klebsiella pneumoniae. RNAcentral's name for it is "signal recognition particle sRNA small type". It matches the Rfam family "Bacterial small signal recognition particle RNA". Rfam says of the family: The signal recognition particle (SRP) is a universally conserved ribonucleoprotein involved in the co-translational targeting of proteins to membranes. Archaeal SRP consists of a 7S RNA and homologues of the eukaryotic SRP19 and SRP54 proteins. In most bacteria, the SRP consists of a 4.5S RNA and the Ffh protein (a homologue of the eukaryotic SRP54 protein). The record is from RNAcentral. Lineage: Bacteria; Pseudomonadati; Pseudomonadota; Gammaproteobacteria; Enterobacterales; Enterobacteriaceae.
CACCAGGUCAGCAACGCUACUCUGUUUACCAGGUCAGGUCCGGAAGGAAGCAGCCAGAGCAGACGACGUGUGUGCCGGGAUGUAGCUGGCAGGG